This 497-nucleotide ribosomal RNA is filed under the name uncultured bacterium. RNAcentral's name for it is "partial 16S ribosomal RNA". It matches the Rfam family "Bacterial small subunit ribosomal RNA", at positions 28 to 507 of the family's 1533-position model. The record is from RNAcentral.
GAUGAACGCUGGCGGCGUGCCUAAUACAUGCAAGUCGAGCGAACAGACGAGGAGCUUGCUCCUCUGACGUUAGCGGCGGACGGGUGUGUAACACGUGGAUAACCUACCUAUAAGACUGGGAUAACUUCGGGAAACCGGAGCUAAUACGGGAUAAUAUAUUGAACCGCGUGGUUCAAUAGUGAAAGACGGUUUUGCUGUCACUUAUAGAUGGAUCCGCGCCGCAUUAGCUAGUUGGUAAGGUAACGGCUUACCAAGGCAACGAUGCGUAGCCGACCUGAGAGGGUGAUCGGCCACACUGGAACGGAGACACGGACCAGAGUCCUAAGGGAGGCCGCAGUAGGGAAUCUUACGCAACGGGCGAAAGCUUGACGGAGCAACGCCGCGUGAGUGAUGAAGGUCUUCGGAUCGUAAAACUCUGUUAUUAGGGAAGAACAAAUGUGUAAGUAAAUAUGCACGUAUUGACGGUACCUAAUCAGAAAGCCACGGCUAACUACGUG